RNAcentral lists this ribosomal RNA (429 nucleotides) under Actinomycetes bacterium. Its description in RNAcentral is "Actinobacteria bacterium partial 16S ribosomal RNA". It matches the Rfam family "Bacterial small subunit ribosomal RNA", at positions 355 to 776 of the family's 1533-position model. Lineage: Bacteria; Bacillati; Actinomycetota; Actinomycetes. The record is from RNAcentral.
UAGGGAAUCUUCCGCAAUGGGCGAAAGCUUGACGGAGCAACGCCGCGUGAGUGAUGAAUGUCUUCGGAUCGUAAAACUCUGUUAUUAGGGAAGAACAAAUGUGUAAGUAACUAUGCACGUCUUGACGGUACCUAAUCAGAAAGCCACGGCUAACUACGUGCCAGCAGCCGCGGUAAUACGUAGGUGGCAAGCGUUAUCCGGAAUUAUUGGGCGUAAAGCGCGCGUAGGCGGUUUUUUAAGUCUGAUGUGAAAGCCCACGGCUCAACCGUGGAGGGUCAUUGGAAACUGGAAAACUUGAGUGCAGAAGAGGAAAGUGGAAUUCCAUGUGUAGCGGUGAAAUGCGCAGAGAUAUGGAGGAACACCAGUGGCGAAGGCGACUUUCUGGUCUGUAACUGACGCUGAUGUGCGAAAGCGUGGGGAUCAAACAGG